This is a small nuclear RNA of Dipodomys ordii (Ord's kangaroo rat), 104 nucleotides long. The record is from Ensembl. NCBI's taxonomy places the organism in Eukaryota, Metazoa, Chordata, Mammalia, Rodentia, Heteromyidae.
GCUUGCUUCUACAACGCAUGUAUUAAAACCAAGAGGACACUGAGAAGAUUCGCCUGGCCCUGCAUAAAGAUGACAUCCAAAUUCGUGAAUCGUUCCAUGUUUUU